RNAcentral lists this ribosomal RNA (490 nucleotides) under uncultured bacterium. RNAcentral's name for it is "partial 16S ribosomal RNA". It matches the Rfam family "Bacterial small subunit ribosomal RNA", at positions 30 to 507 of the family's 1533-position model. The record is from RNAcentral.
AUUGAACGCUGGCGGCAGGCCUAACACAUGCCAGUCGAACGGUAACAGGAAACAGCUUGCUGUUUCGCUGACGAGUGGCGGACGGGUGAGUAAUGUCUGGGAAACUGCCUGAUGGAGGGGGAUAACUACUGGAAACGGUAGCUAAUACCGCAUAACGUCGCAAGACCAAAGAGGGGGACCCUCGGGCCUCUUGCCAUCGGAUGUGCCCAGAUGGGCUUAGCCUGUUGGUGGGGUAACGGCUCACCAAGGCGACGAUCCCUAGCUGGUCUGAGAGGAUGACCAGCCACACUGGAACUGAGACACGGUCCAGACUCCUACGGGAGGCAGCAGUGGGGAAUAUUGCACAAUGGGCGCAAGCCUGAUGCAGCCAUGCCGCGUGUAUGAAGAAGGCCUUCGGGUUGUAAAGUACUUUCAGCGGGGAGGAAGGGAGUAAAGUUAAUACCUUUGCUCAUUGACGUUACCCGCAGAAGAAGCACCGGCUAACUCCGUG